Molecule: non-coding RNA, 1736 nt
Organism: Callorhinus ursinus (northern fur seal)
Lineage: Eukaryota; Metazoa; Chordata; Mammalia; Carnivora; Otariidae
Source: RefSeq, a predicted model, not a curated record
GCAGGCAGAGGAGUAGGCAGAAGCCAUUUCUGGACUUGGGCACAGAGCCAUGGCCACAGGGCAAAGUGGUCACAAGUCCAGACACUCAAGUGCAAAGCCAGGGCUGUGUCUGUCCUCUUCCUUGGACCAGGCCCUGCCCUAACAUCAGCAGCACAGGCAGUUGUGCUGGUGUUUAUAAGGGAAGGGGCUGCUAGGACCACUGGGGUUGGGCUCAGGAAGUGGGUUGUGGGCUCCAGCUGGAAAUGCUGGCUGGAAGGUGGUGGGUGAAUCGCAGUGGGUACGGGGGGAGGGAUAAACAGCAGGAGCUCAAACAAGGAGGCCAUGGGCCCUGGAGUACCCAGAGGGAGGACUUAGCUUACAUUGGCCUGGGAGGCUUCUUGAGGGCAGGGCCAGGUGUGUCUGCUUUGGCUCCCUGUCCCCAGAACCCACCAGGAACUAGAAGUUCCAAGGUUGGCUGCAAGGGGCUGGGAUCCGCCAGCGUCUGGGGAUCAGAAACACCCAUUUCAGGUCUCUGCAGAGGCGGUGCCUGAAAGGAGGUGAGGGAGAUGGUGGCUGGUUGUCAAAUGUGCAACUCCUGCCCUUGAGCCAGGCUGCAUGGCUUGCGAGGCAUUUCACCUCUGAGCUGUCACCGGGAAAGAGAUCCAACUUCCAGGGGGAAGAUACUGGAAGCCCGCCCUGGUUGCUCCAGCCCACAUGAUCUUUCUUCAUGAAUUUCUCAAAUUCAGAGCACCCACUGGCUACUCCCUGUGUGCAGAAGCCUUGUGACCUCUCUGGAAAUGUGUGUGGUGGUUCAUUUCCUAGCUUCAUAAACAGAGGCAAAUAACUUAACCUUGGUUCCUGCCCUGAAGGAGCUCAAAGUUAUACAGGCAGCUGGCUGACAGCAAGAGGCAGUGUUGAAAGGAGAUGGGAGUCGCCACCACAGGUCAACACAAUCAAACCUAAGAACUACAACACUGCUAACAUUGUUGAAUAGACCUGUGUGCUCUUCCUCCCCUCUCCUACCCCUGCCUCCACAACUAUGAACACUGUAGUCAAACUGUUGAAAAAGAGAGAAAAUCUUAAAAGUAGACAGAAAAUAAAGGUCACAUUACAUUGGGGGCAACAGUAAGAAUGAUGGCUGCUUCUCAUCAGAAACAAUGUAAGUCAGAGUGUGGAAUGAUAGCUCUAAAAUGCUAAAACAAACAAAAUUCAAGUUGGAAUUCUAUAUCCAGUGAAAAAAUAUCCUUGAAAAAUGAAGGCAAAAUAAAGAUAUUUUCAGACAACUGAAGCUGUUGCCAGGUCUGCAAUACAUGAAAUUCUAAAGGAAGUUCUUCGUGCUGAAGGGAAAUGAUCCUGGCCAGAAAUCAGGAUGUGAAGAAGGAAUGAAGAACAUCAGCAACAAUCAAAGACAGUAAAGUCCCCUGGGCGCUGGUACCUCCUGAAGGCAGAAACACAAAAGCAGGAACAGCCGUUCUGCAUGAUAGGCUAGACUUUGAACUCCAAGAGGGUAGAGAUGAUCGAUCCCUUUUUCAUAGUCAUAUUCCUGUCACCUGGGAUAGAGUAAGCGUUCACAUCCUGUCCAUGUUUCAUCACAGCACUUGGAACAAGAAAUUGUACCAUUGCCUGUCCCUGCCUCUUAAUGGGAACUUCUGAGGCAAGUUACCAUAACGUGGAGCCUCAGUUUCCCUACAUGCAAAAUAGAAAUGAUGAUACUGACCUUCUAGACUUACGACGACUGAAUGAAAAAGGUAUGUGAA